RNAcentral lists this transfer RNA (62 nucleotides) under Pilsbryoconcha exilis. Its description in RNAcentral is "tRNA-Trp". Lineage: Eukaryota; Metazoa; Mollusca; Bivalvia; Unionida; Unionidae. The record is from RNAcentral.
AAGAGUUUAAGUUAAUAAAACUAAAAGCCUUCAAAGCUUUAAAUGGUCAAAACCAACCCUUA